AUUGAACGCUGGCGGCAGGCUUAACACAUGCAAGUCGAGCGGGGUGAUGGUGCUUGCACUAUCACUUAGCGGCGGACGGGUGAGUAAUGCUUAGGAAUCUGCCUAUUAGUGGGGGACAACAUCUCGAAAGGGAUGCUAAUACCGCAUACGUCCUACGGGAGAAAGCAGGGGAUCACUUGUGACCUUGCGCUAGUAGAUGAGCCUAAGUCGGAUUAGCUAGUUGGUGGGGUAAAGGCCUACCAAGGCGACGUUCUGUAGCGGGUCUGAGAGGAUGAUCCGCCACACUGGGACUGAGACACGGCCCAGACUCCUACGGGAGGCAGCAGUGGGGAAUAUUGGACAAUGGGGGGAACCCUGAUCCAGCCAUGCCGCGUGUGUGAAGAAGGCCUUAUGGUUGUAAAGCACUUUAAGUGAGGAGGAGGCUCUUUUGGUUAAUACCCAAGAUGAGUGGACGUUACUCGCAGAAUAAGCACCGGCUAACUCUGUGCCAGCCGCCGCCGUAA
This 503-nucleotide ribosomal RNA is filed under the name uncultured bacterium. Its description in RNAcentral is "partial 16S ribosomal RNA". It matches the Rfam family "Bacterial small subunit ribosomal RNA", at positions 30 to 523 of the family's 1533-position model. The record is from RNAcentral.